RNAcentral lists this transfer RNA (89 nucleotides) under Stutzerimonas stutzeri. RNAcentral's name for it is "Pseudomonas stutzeri tRNA-Trp(cca)". Lineage: Bacteria; Pseudomonadati; Pseudomonadota; Gammaproteobacteria; Pseudomonadales; Pseudomonadaceae. The record is from RNAcentral.
UGGCAUGUACAGGCUGGUCAGCCUCUUCGGCUUCCAGUGCCGUGUCGUGCUGAGCGAAGGUGAUGGUGUUCGAGUCGUCGCCAGGCUGC